RNAcentral lists this ribosomal RNA (253 nucleotides) under uncultured bacterium. Its description in RNAcentral is "partial 16S ribosomal RNA". It matches the Rfam family "Bacterial small subunit ribosomal RNA", at positions 524 to 776 of the family's 1533-position model. The record is from RNAcentral.
GACGUAGGGCGCGAGCGUUGUUCGGAAUUACUGGGCGUAAAGAGUGUGUAGGCGGUGUUCUAAGUCUGUUGUGAAAUCUCCCGGCUUAACCGGGAGGGUGCGGCGGAAACUGGAAUGCUAGAGGAUGGGAGAGGUAAGCGGAAUUCCUGGUGUAGCGGUGAAAUGCGUAGAUAUCAGGAGGAACACCUGUGGUGUAGACAGCUUACUGGACCAUUUCUGACGCUGAGACACGAAAGCGUGGGUAGCAAACAGG